This 405-nucleotide ribosomal RNA is filed under the name uncultured bacterium. RNAcentral describes it as "partial 16S ribosomal RNA". It matches the Rfam family "Bacterial small subunit ribosomal RNA", at positions 30 to 526 of the family's 1533-position model. The record is from RNAcentral.
AUUGAACGCUGGCGGCAGGCCUAACACAUGCAAGUCGAACGAGUGGCGGACGGGUGAGUAAUAUAUCGGAACGUGCCCAGUAGCGGGGGAUAACUACCCGAAAGGGUGGCUAAUCCCGCAUACUAUUGGACCGGCCGAUACCGGAUUAGCUAGUUGGGGGGGUAAAGGCUCACCAAGGCAACGAUCCGUAGCUGGUUUGAGAGGACGACCAGCCACACUGGGACUGAGACACGGCCCAGACUCCUACGGGAGGCAGCAGUGGGGAAUUUUGGACAAUGGGGGAAACCCUGAUCCAGCCAUCCCGCGUGUAUGAGAAGGCCUUCGGGUUGUAAAGUACUUUUGGCAGAGAAGCGGUAUCUGCAGAAUAAACACCGGCUAACUACGUGCCAGCCGCCGCGGUAAUAC